Molecule: long non-coding RNA, 415 nt
Organism: Tyto alba (common barn owl)
Lineage: Eukaryota; Metazoa; Chordata; Aves; Strigiformes; Tytonidae
Exons: 2
Source: RefSeq, a predicted model, not a curated record
UAUUAUAAGACUGUGUCAAAAAACUUGCAAAAUACUUGUUAAAAAACUAGUUUGCUAUUUUCGGCAGAAAAAGAAGCUAGAGAGGCAGAAGAGACUAAAGCUGAACUGGGACUUGGUGGAGAAGAUGAUUUGAAAGCACUGAUUCGAAGCAGAAAUAAAGAUCAAAAAAGGAAAUGGAUGACUUUUUGGCCCAAUGGGAAGCAAAAUAUGGGAAAAAUGCUGCCAAGAAAUACGGGACUGCAGCCAAGAAAGGAAAGAAAUAAAGAACUGUGUAGGCUGAGAUACCAGGUAUCAUUUUGUAUGGGAUCAUGUGGAUUUGGGAGAAUUUCAGAGUUUUUCUGGGCUACUGUUUCAGAGUGUGUGCAUCAGUUUGCUGUGACUGGGAGGUAUGAUACAGAAUGCAUCAUGAACAAGA